This 73-nucleotide transfer RNA is filed under the name Gemmatimonadota bacterium. RNAcentral's name for it is "Gemmatimonadetes bacterium tRNA-Thr". It matches the Rfam family "tRNA". Rfam says of the family: Transfer RNA (tRNA) molecules are approximately 80 nucleotides in length. Their secondary structure includes four short double-helical elements and three loops (D, anti-codon, and T loops). Lineage: Bacteria; Pseudomonadati; Gemmatimonadota. The record is from RNAcentral.
GCCACCAUAGCUCCAACGGCAGAGCGGCUGAUUUGUAAUCAGUAGGUUCUCGGUUCGAAUCCGAGUGGUGGCU